GACAGAGGUGCCAAGCGUUAGGCGGAAUCACUGGGCUUAAAGCGUGUGUAGGCGGACUGGUAAGUACCUUGUGAAAUCCCACGGCUCAACCGUGGAACUGCUGGGUAUACUGCUUGUCUUGAGCCACUUAGGGGCUGUCGGAACAAACGGUGGAGCGGUGAAAUGCGUAGAUAUCGGAAAGAACACCAACGGCGAAAGCACUCUGCUGGGCCGACACUGACACUGAGAGACGAAAGCUAGGGGAGCGAAUGGG
This 253-nucleotide ribosomal RNA is filed under the name uncultured bacterium. Its description in RNAcentral is "partial 16S ribosomal RNA". It matches the Rfam family "Bacterial small subunit ribosomal RNA", at positions 524 to 776 of the family's 1533-position model. The record is from RNAcentral.